Molecule: ribosomal RNA, 432 nt
Filed under: uncultured bacterium
Lineage: Bacteria
Description: partial 16S ribosomal RNA
Rfam family: Bacterial small subunit ribosomal RNA
Source: RNAcentral
AACGAACGCUGGCGGCAUGCCUAACACAUGCAAGUCGAACGAGACCUUCGGGUCUAGUGGCGCACGGGUGCGUAACGCGUGGGAAUCUACCCUCAGGUUCGGAAUAACUCAGAGAAAUUUGAGCUAAUACCGGAUGAUGACGUAAGUCCAAAGAUUUAUCGCCUGAGGAUGAGCCCGCUUAGGAUUAGGUAGUUGGUGAGGUAAAGGCUCACCAAGCCGACGAUCCUUAGCUGGUCUGAGAGGAUGAUCAGCCACACUGGGACUGAGACACGGCCCAGACUCCUACGGGAGGCAGCAGUGGGGAAUAUUGGACAAUGGGCGAAAGCCUGAUCCAGCAAUGCCGCGUGAGUGAUGAAGGCCUUAGGGUUGUAAAGCUCUUUUACCCGGGAUGAUAAUGACAGUACCGGGAGAAUAAACUCCGGCUAACUCCGU